Molecule: ribosomal RNA, 1322 nt
Filed under: metagenome
Description: bacterial SSU rRNA
Rfam family: Bacterial small subunit ribosomal RNA
Source: RNAcentral
AGAGUUUGAUCAUGGCUCAGAUUGAACGCUGGCGGCACGCCUAACACAUGCAAGUCGAGCGGUAACAUGAUGUGUAGCAAUACACAUUGAUGACGAGCGGCGGACGGGUGAGGAACACGUAGGAACUUACCUUUUAGAGGGGGAUAACUAAGGGAAACUUUAGCUAAUACCGCGUAAUGUCGAAAGACCAAAGCUGCCCGCAAGGGUGGCGCUGAAAGAGAGGCCUGCGUCGAUUAGCUAGUUGGUGGGGUAAAGGCCUACCAAGGCGAUGAUCGGUAACUGGUCUGAGAGGACGACCAGUCACAUUGGGACUGAGACACGGCCCAAACUCCUACGGGAGGCAGCAGUGGGGAAUCUUGGACAAUGGGGGAAACCCUGAUCCAGCGAUGCCGCGUGGGUGAAGAAGGCCUUCGGGUUGUAAAGCCCUUUAGGCCGGGACGAAGGUUAUGGUAGGAAAUGACUGUAAUUUGACGGUACCGGCAGAAUAAGCACCGGCAAACUCUGUGCCAGCAGCCGCGGUAAUACAAAGGGUGCAAGCGUUAAUCGGAGUUACUGGGCGUAAAGGGUGCGUAGGCGGUUUAAUGAGUGUGAUGUGAAAGCCCUGGGCUUAACCUAGGAAGUGCAUCGCAAACGAUUAGACUGGAGUAGAUGAGAGGGUGGCGGAAUUUCCGGUGUAGCAGUGAAAUGCGUAGAGAUCGGAAGGAACGUCAAUGGCGAAGGCAGCCACCUGGCAUCAUACUGACGCUGAGGCACGAAAGCGUGGGGAGCGAACAGGAUUAGAUACCCUGGUAGUCCACGCUGUAAACGACGAUAACUAAAUGUUGCUAGGGGAACUUAGCAGUAUUGAAGCUAACGCGAUAAGUUAUCCGCCUGGGAAGUACGGCCGCAAGGUUGAAACUCAAAUGAAUUGACGGGGGCCCGCACAAGCGGUGGAGCAUGUGGUUUAAUUCGAUGCAACGCGAAGAACCUUACCUACCCUUGACAUCCUAGGGAUUCUGCAGAGAUGCGGAAGUGCCGAAAGGAACCCAGAGACAGGUGCUGCAUGGCUGUCGUCAGCUCGUGUUGUGAGAUGUUGGGUUAAGUCCCGUAACGAGCGCAACCCUUGUUCUUAGUUACCAGCAUUAAGUUGGGGACUCUAAGAAGACUGCCGGUGUUGAACCGGAGGAAGGCGGGGACGACGUCAAGUCAUCAUGGCCUUUAUGGGUAGGGCUACACACGUGCUACAAUGGGGCGUACAGAGAGUCGCGAACCCGCGAGGGGGAGCCAAUCUCGUAAAGCGUCUCGUAGUCCGGAUUGGAGUCUGCAAUUCGACUUCAUGAAGU